Long non-coding RNA from Cercocebus atys (sooty mangabey), 1121 nucleotides. RefSeq lists it as uncharacterized. Lineage: Eukaryota; Metazoa; Chordata; Mammalia; Primates; Cercopithecidae. The record is from RefSeq and is a predicted model, not a curated record. The transcript is spliced from 4 exons.
UAUAAAAAGAAUGCUAAUUGGUUUUCCAGCUGAAAAAUAAUAAGGGAUUUGCUGCCAAAAAUGCUGUAUGGCCUGGAAACCCCAAGUUUAUACAAUAGGGCCUGAUUGCAAUCUGGGGGCUCCAUUUGUCCUCCUAUGAAGAGCUAAACAAAGGGAGGUGUUUCGCUCCUCUGCCUUUGUAGAAAGCUCCGCUCCAGAUCUCAGCCUGGUGGAACACCAGGCUUCCCACAGUCUUCCUGCCAAAUCCCCAAGUUUUUUCCUGGCUGCCAUUCAGGAAAGUACAGCUUCGUCUGUAGGAUGGAAAGUUAAAAAGGCCUUGCUUGGAUACGCUGAAAUAUAUACAAACACUGCCUGACGUAUGGAGUAGGCUGCUGCCGCUGGCAUCCUAGCAGAAAGAAUGUGAAACUUUUAAAAGUCAUUUUGGAAUUACUUUGAAAAAUGAAGUAAGACAUAUUCUCAACAACCAACUUCUGCCAAAAUAUGCAAAGAAUAAAACAGGCCAUAAGAAUCCAUUGAUGUGUACAAAAUUAUUUUUUGACAGAAACAGAAACAAGGUAAACACAUGGAAGAUUCAAGUGAGAAUUGAACUGGAACCCAGAAGAAAAAUCAGAUUCAUCAAAUGAAUCUUCGGCCAACAACUGUUCGAGAACAAUGUUAACAUCAUGCACAAGAAUGCUAUGUUGUCUAGGAGUUGACAUUUUCGGCAAUCAAGAAUUACUAUACUUUGUAAAUGAGAAUACCGCUACAGAAUACUAUAAACAGAAUGAUGCCUUUUGUUUCCAAAGUCGAUAUACGAGAGUGAUGUGAAAGUAAUAAUAAAAGCAAGAUAUUUUGUGGCAAAGUUAUCUCUAGGUAAAUGCUAUAUUUGGAAGUGCUGCCAGCAAGUAUCCUUAGGGCAAUAAAAUGAGUUUUCAAUGCUUUUCAGUAUUUAAUUGGCAUGCAGUGAAGACAGUCAGCCCUCAGCCCUCUGUAUCCAAAGAUCUUUGACCUGUAGAUUCAACCAAUUGUGGAUCAAAAAUAUUUGGAAAAAAGAAUUUCUGGAAAGUUCCAAAAAGCAAAGGAGAAAUUCUUCCAAAUAUUUAUAACUUUUGCAUAGAAGAUUAUAUACUGAGAGAAAGUCA